Acanthosepion pharaonis is the source of this 99-nucleotide non-coding RNA. Lineage: Eukaryota; Metazoa; Mollusca; Cephalopoda; Sepiida; Sepiidae. The record is from the annotation of a GenBank genome assembly.
AGCUGAAACACCGAUUCUCGUUCGAUAACUGGAGUUAAGCUACGUUGAACCUGGUCAGUAUAUAGAUGGGUGACCGCUUGGGAAUAUCCGGUACUGUAA